This 25-nucleotide non-coding RNA is filed under the name Mus musculus (house mouse). The record is from RNAcentral. Lineage: Eukaryota; Metazoa; Chordata; Mammalia; Rodentia; Muridae.
UACCUGCUCGGGAGAGUGCCUUCCA